This is a long non-coding RNA of Rhipicephalus microplus (southern cattle tick), 350 nucleotides long. RefSeq lists it as uncharacterized. Lineage: Eukaryota; Metazoa; Arthropoda; Arachnida; Ixodida; Ixodidae. The record is from RefSeq and is a predicted model, not a curated record.
GUCAGUGGCCACCGUAGAUUAUCGUCCACGAUCGCACGCACUCAUCGCAGGGAAUUGAGGUGCUUCACCCCUGUGCUGCCUGCUGCGCCUGCGCGUACUGCUCACCACCAUCAACAAGGACCAUAUGAGCACGCGCCUGUUGGCCAGGACUUCAUUUGGCAGCAGCAGUUGCGGUGGCAUGUCUCCGUUCUAAGACACAUUUCUUCUGCCAAUAGGCGCAAACACUUGACCAGUGGACAAAAUUGGAGGCUAAUCCUUAUGAUGACCACAUAUGGCACCAAGAUUGGCGUCUGCACUUCUAUCAGUGGACUUGAGCUGAAGAUUGCCUUUGCAAGUGCGUCAUGCUGCAG